CCUACGGGAGGCAGCAGUGGGGGAUAUUGCACAAUGGGGGGAACCCUGAUGCAGCGACGCCGCGUGGGUGAAGGAGCGUUUCGGCGCGUAAAGCCCUAUCGGCAGGGAAGAAGAAGGACGGUACCUGACUAAGAAGCCCCGGCUAACUACGUGCCAGCAGCCGCGGUAAUACGUAGGGGGCCAGCGGUAUCCGGAUUUACUGGGUGUAAGGGGGGCGCAGACGGCGGCGCAAGCCAGGAGUGAAAGCCCGGGGCCCAACCCCGGGACUGCUCUUGGAACUGCGCGGCUGGAGUGCAGGAGGGGCAGGCGGAAUUCCUGGUGUAGCGGUGAAAUGCGUAGAUAUCAGGAGGAACACCGGUGGCGAAGGCGGCCUGCUGGACUGCGACUGACGUUGAGGCCCGAAAGCGUGGGGAGCAAACAGGAUUAGAUACCCUUGUAGUC
RNAcentral lists this ribosomal RNA (441 nucleotides) under uncultured bacterium. RNAcentral's name for it is "partial 16S ribosomal RNA". It matches the Rfam family "Bacterial small subunit ribosomal RNA", at positions 338 to 795 of the family's 1533-position model. The record is from RNAcentral.